This 91-nucleotide transfer RNA is filed under the name Lactobacillus gasseri 202-4. RNAcentral describes it as "tRNA-Leu". It matches the Rfam family "tRNA". Rfam says of the family: Transfer RNA (tRNA) molecules are approximately 80 nucleotides in length. Lineage: Bacteria; Bacillati; Bacillota; Bacilli; Lactobacillales; Lactobacillaceae. The record is from RNAcentral.
UGCCGGGGUGGCGGAACUGGCAGACGCACGGGACUUAAAAUCCCGCGGUUGGUGACAACCGUACCGGUUCGAUUCCGGUCCUCGGCAUAUA